UACGGAGGGGGCCAGCGUUGUUCGGAAUUAUUGGGCGUAAAGGGCGCGUAGGCGGCCAUUCAAGUCGGACGUGAAAUCCCUCGGCUCAACCGGGGAACUGCGUCCGAUACUGUCUGGCUCGAGUCCUGGAGAGGGUAGUGGAAUUCCCAGUGUAGCGGUGAAAUGCGUAGAUACUGGGAGGAACACCGGUGGCGAAGGCGGCUCCCUGGACAGGUACUGACGCUGAUGCGCGAAAGCUAGGGGAGCAAACAGG
This 253-nucleotide ribosomal RNA is filed under the name uncultured bacterium. Its description in RNAcentral is "partial 16S ribosomal RNA". It matches the Rfam family "Bacterial small subunit ribosomal RNA", at positions 524 to 776 of the family's 1533-position model. The record is from RNAcentral.